CCAGAAAUUCAAAUUUAAUACCACAAAAACGAAAAAGACAAAAAACACAGCAGGAUAAUGAUUUUAAAGAAGCAAAAACCAGGAAAAUUGCAUUUUUAGGGGGCAAAUUUGCGGGAAAAACCGGAUUUUUAUAUGAAAAUCUCAAUUUUUGAGACUUUUUCUGGAAAAUUGGGGGUAAAAUUAUUUUAAAAAAAAAACACCAAAGUUUACACAUAAAAACGGGGGGAAUGAGUGGUAAAAAACCGAACAUUUUUAGGAAAAUGAUUAACAAGAAAAAAUAAAUUAACAAUGGGAGGAAUAAUGUUUAAAAAUGACAUUUUCAGACAUUUUUCUAGUUAAAAAAACUUGUAAAUUUCGAUAUUUUUGAGACAAAACUUGGUGAAAAUGUGAUUUUUCAGAGAAUUUUGCAUUUAUGUUCGCGAAAAACUGGGAAAAUCUGAAUUUUUUAGGAUUUUCGAAUUUUUUGAAAAACGAUGAAUUUUCGAGUGAAAAUCAAACAAAAAUAGUGAUUUUUUCCAGAGAUUUUGGGGGGAAAAACUCAAUUUUCGCGCUAAAAAAUUUUUUUUUUACGAUUUUUGUUCUUUUUUUGUUGAAUUUUCUGAUUUUUGGUGGAUGAACAUAGUUAGAAAACUUGGUUUUUUGCGAUUUUUCGAAAACUUCGGAUUUUUCUCAGGGAUUUUGGGAAAAAUCUUAACUUUCGCGACAAAAAAUUAUGUUUAACGAAUUUUGAUGGAAUAAUGAUGGAAAAAGGUGAUUUUCUGAUUUUUGGAUGAAAACUAUAGUUGGAAAACCUCAUGUUUUUGCGAUUUUUCUGAAAUUUUGGAUUUUCGAGAGAAAAUCAAGCAAAAAUAGUGAUUUUUC
Molecule: non-coding RNA, 861 nt
Organism: Caenorhabditis elegans
Lineage: Eukaryota; Metazoa; Nematoda; Chromadorea; Rhabditida; Rhabditidae
Source: Ensembl